This 9480-nucleotide long non-coding RNA is filed under the name Vigna radiata. Its description in RNAcentral is "long non-coding RNA (VRAD_LNC017082)". Lineage: Eukaryota; Viridiplantae; Streptophyta; Magnoliopsida; Fabales; Fabaceae. The record is from RNAcentral.
AACACUCCUCAUAUUCACCUUCUCCUAGCCUUUCCUCCCCUUUUGACCGAUUGAUUUUACGUUUCCCUUCAUCUUCACCGAUUGAAAUCGGAUGCUAACCUUUCCACCGGUUAAUCGGCCUAUUUCACCGAUUAAAGUCGCCUAAACCACCAGAUCUAGAUUCUCCAUCGAACAACACUUCAAACUAGGGUUUGUUCGACCUCCUUCCAUUCCAACACCGAAACCUAGGGUUUAUAGAGUUCUGAUCUUCUUCCGCUGCGACAACUCCUCCAAUCAGGAGUUCAACUCCAUUUCUCGGUUCUUCUCCGAUCUGCCGUGACCGGGAUCGCAUCAUGUGGUAUUCAGAGCAAAGUUCUCUUCCUCGGGCUUCAAGAGAUAGGUUUCUUGUAUCACUUCUCUCAGAUUGUUCCUUUCUGUGUUUAUUCACGUCUUUGUCUCUGGUAGUUUUGUAUUUUAUUUGAUUUGUGAUUCUGAAUAUCUUGUCCUAUUUUCUCCAUUUCGUGUUGUUCAAUUUUUUUUUCCUUUAUUGUCUCGAUCUAUUGUGUUUUGAUUCAGUUUGAUCUAUGCUAAUCUGUGAUUAGGAUUCCUGAUUGUGUUGUUCUUGAGUUUGUUGUACUUGAGUCAUUUCAUUGAGUCUUUCAUCAUUUUUAAUCGGUCCAAAAAUUUUGGUUUGAGUAAUUUCAUUUGAGCAUCAUUUUCUGUCUUGUCUUGAAGUCUUGUGCAUUUGAUUAAUUGUCAAGAACUCUGGUUUCAAACCAUGUGGUGCUGUUUCAUUUGAUCAUUGAAUCAUACCAUAACAUCUGCACAAUUGAUGAGCGAUGACAUUAUAGAGCUCAAGUGCGUGAAAUGAUGUUGAUCAUGUCAGAUUUGGUUGGUUGAUUUUGUUUUAGCAUCUAGCAGUCAUUGUUCAUUGGAUAAUUGUGUGUCUGACUUGCUAUUUUGAUAUAUAUCAAUGCUUACUUAAAUCUGGUUCGGAAUGAACACCAUAUAAGCAUGAAAUUGCCUUUGCAAUUGGCUUGGUGAUAGACUGGAAAUUCAGAGUGCAUUGGCAGUUGACCGAACUGCACAUUCUUUGCUUGAGUCUUUUAUGUUUUUAAAUCUGAUUCAGUACUUAGAUCAUUACUNAACAUCUGAAACUUUAAAUCNAAUACUUUCAAUCAAUUUUAAGUGCUGAAUUGAACACAAUUUUAGUGUUCAAAAGUCAUUUGAUUCCUUGAGUCAAAAUUUGAGUGGUUCANUUGNUUAGUUUGAGUAAUUUUGAGGGNUGCCUAAGUCAAAUUUUGAGAUAGUGUGUUUCUGCAUCAAGUUGCUUUGCAAACAAGUUUGUUUUAGUGAUUUGAAACCGAUGAUGCAAGGAAACCACGAGUUAUAGCUGCCCAACCAUUUUUCAUUGUUUACACCACCAAAUUUUUGGCAUUUUUCAUUAACAAGUUGCUGGUUUGAUUGAUUACAUUUGAGGUUUGUAUGGUGCAUCUACAUUUGUGUAAACUUGCAGCAAAAGCUUGGUUCCUGUGUGAUAUCUUAAAUACACAAUUCAAAAGGCAACAUUUCAGUCAUUUAAAAAAACAAACAAAAAGAAAAGAAGCUGAAAGACCAGUGCAAGUUCAAAUUUGAAACCUGAUGCAACCUAGACUAACUUUUCUUAAACAUCUCAGCAGCUUAUUGUUUAUCUUUUAUUGUUUUUAAAAUCUGUUCUAGUUUUAUUCUUUAGGUUCUAUUUGUUGUGCUUACCUUUAUUCACUAGCCUUGUUUCUUGUUUGUCAAUUGUUGGCUAUCUUGGUUUUGUCUUUCACGCGUGCAAUCUAUUCUGCCAUUCUUUAAUUGACCUUUUGUUGUUUUUGUAAUCNGUUCUAGAGUAAAUCUUGAGUCAGUUUCUCUGCUGUGCUGUCAGUUUUCCUUAUCUGGUGCUUACCUUGUUGUUGGUUGUUCUGUUCUGUCAUCCCUUAGCCAAGCCAUUUCCUGUUUGUGAAGCUGAUAUCACUUUGGUUUUUGGAAAUUGAAAGAGAGGUAUUUGUGAAUGGUAGCCUCUUAGGUGGAAGUGAUCCACAGAAUUCUCUGACCUUGACUGAAAUCUCUUCAAAACCUACCCUUGAGUGUGUAAAUUGUUAGAGUGAAGCCUUGAGUGUUGUGAGUCUUGUAAGACUGACUUUAGCCUGAUUUCUUUGGCCAUUUGAGAGAGAUAAAUCAGUUUUCAUCUAACUGUAUUGAUAUCUGUUUUGGUGACUGUUCAUUGUGCAGGAAAAGAGUUUGAAUGAUUCAACUGGAGCAGCUGUGACUGUUUAAGAAGCAUUGGCUUCAAUAUUAAACUGUUUGCUGAUUCCAUUGUGAUAUUAAAUGUUUUGAAUGUGAUUGUAUUCAUUUUAAGCUGCGCUUGCAUGCAUUCUGGAAUUUAAAUGAGUUUUUGAUUUCUGCAUUUGGUCUUGAUUAGAAGUAUUACUCUCACUUAGUUGAAAACAUCCUUCCAAUUGCAUUGGCUUCAAAUUUCAGUUUGAUCAGAAUGCUUGAUUGAAUACAUUCACAUGUUACCUAGCUAGUGUGCACUGUCAACACCCAAUUUCGUCCGGGUGACUAAAUAAUAAGAUUAGUUUUUAUUUUUGUCUUAUUUUAUUUUAUUUUAUUUUGUUUUGUUUUACUUUUUUUAGUAUUUGAUUUAGUUUUUUUUUUUUUUUUUUUUUAUUUUUGGAUUUAAUUUCAUGAUUUUAUAAUCUUUUGAAAAAAAAGAGAAAUGAAAAAAGGAAAGAAAAAUGAAAAAUAGAUUAGAAUACCAGUUUUGUCUUUUAGUCUAAAAAAAAAAAGAAAAGCGAAAAAGAUAAAAAAAAAAAACAACAAAGGAGAUUUUGGUUGGAGAGUGCUGGGGUGCAUGGCAGACGCAGAGUGGAACAGGCACAAUUUGGUUUUGGCAGACGCAGAGUGGAAUGGGCAAAUUCGGUUUUUGGCAGCGACAAAAGCAGCUUUGGCAGAGAAGGUUUGGGUGAUCAGGUAUCAAAAGCAUGGAAGCAACCAGGGAAAAAGGAGAAGAUCAUCAUCCACUACACUUAUCCUCUCCGAAAAACAACCAUAGUUUUUCACCAUUUUUUCCACCUCCCUCAUACUUAACAGAUCCAUCAAAUCACACAUGUCUUCCCGAUCACUCAACAGAUUCACCUCACACGUUCCUUUUCUCUCCAUCACUCAACACGCACACCAUUCCAUCUUCACCAUCACACCCACUCUAAUUCCUCCAUCAACACCAAAGAGAUCACACACUACAGACAAUUCUCCUAGGACUCACCACUACCUCCUUACCACAUCUUAACGGUUUCCUCUGCUCUCCCAAUACCAGGGGUUCCCAAUUCAUCACCCAACAGAUUCAUCAUUGUUACCUCUGACCAUUCUCCAUGGCUCCACACACUUCAGCUUCUUGAUUUUCCCAUCUCCUUCAAUAACACACAUCACGGAAAUACAAGAUUUCCCCAACCUCCCUCUGCAUAAAACCUUUUUGAUCAUCUUCAACUCAGGCAGAGGAACCCACUCACACACUCCAACGCUCUGCAGCCCCCAACCCGUAAGCAACCUUCACAUACAGUCACACAAUCUUUUCCUCUUCAUCACUCACCACCGUAUAAUCUCUCCCCAUUCGCUCAUCAGUUUGGCACCAAUUCGACAUUCUAAACUCCAUUGCCGUGACCCUCGCCACAUUCACCACCGACAACCCAUAGCCUUCAUCUUCCUCUUCCAUUAUCACCUGCAAAUCCAACACACAACCACAACCAUUUCCUCCAAUACACAGCACAACCAUCUUCAAGAAAGAAAACCACGGGCAUUUACAUUACAAUUUCAAUUGCAUUUGGUGGUGGCAACUACAUUGGGCUAAUUACCAUAGUUCCCUUACACCAUUUUCUGAUCACACUUGCAUCUUCACUUCAAAAACCUCAUCCAUUUUCAAUCGUUUUUUUAUUUUCGUACCUCCAUUUAUUUGGAUAAAUGGUGAAGAUUGGCAAGUGAAGUGUAGAGGGAGGAGAAUGAGAAGUGGUGUUGCUGCAUCGGCGUCGCGGAGAGGUGUUACUAGCAGGAGAGGUUGAACUGCUGCAAAGGGCGACUACGCUACUGGCCUGGACGACGGUGCUGACCGGUGACGUUGAGUGGUGAUCUGGUUUGCGGCUUGCGGUGGCCGAGCUUGCCCAACAGGCAAUUCGCAAGAGGGGAACUAUCUCCCUCACGCACGAGGAGAGGAGGGGAGCAGAGCCACCAACACUAGGAGCACCAUCGGCCCUAGGCAACGCUGGCGGCUAGCACGACGGUGGCCGAUUUGGAGCGUGGGUGGCGGAAGAGGAGAACUAGACGUUGUAGCCCUUGCAGUCACCGGCGAUGGCGACGUGACGCGGAGGGGCGAGAAUAUUUCUCUCGCGCGCGAAGAAGAAAAGAGGGGGGAAGAGUCCUUCCGAUGACCGGCGACGGCUCUGGUGUGAACGGCGUCUUCGAUGACGCCUUUGACCACGGCUCCCGACAGCUUGUAGCAGUGGUGGAGACGGUGGCAUGCGGCUGCGGCAAGGACAAGCCUCCAUGGUUUACCUCUCGAAGGAGACCCUGGGUCUCUGAGUUGUUGAACGCAAAUGAGAUGAACUCAAAGGAACCCCCAAUUUUUCAAAUUAGGGCAAAGAGGUUUUGGGCCUGGUUAUUGAGCCUUUCUCUUCCCGCCGCCACCUCCGUUUCUCUAUUCGCACCUCCAUUCCCUUUCCGGCAAACAAAAAAGGCCUUGGGCCUGGCCAGAACCUACUACAUGCCACCUCCAACUUUGCUGCUGCACCCCCUUGGGUCUGGAUCAACAAAUUUCGAGCUGCACCCCCAUUUUUGGCCAUACACCCCUAACAGACUACAAGACCAGAAGCUUCAGUAUAUUUUUCAGCACCCCCGGUUUUAAUCUCUGCACCCCUAUUCUUUUUGGGCUUGGACUGUGAUAUUUUUUUAUUGUCUUUGUUAUUUUUUAUUUAUUUAUUUCUUUAGCUUUGACAUCUGUUUUAUUAUUGUUUGAUUGUUAAAAUAAAAAGUAUAAAAAAAAAUCAUAAAAAAUUAAAAUCAAAUAAAAAUAUUUUGAAAAGGUUUAAGCGCACGUGCGACCGCUCGCGUAGGCCUUGUGCUGAAAACCUUUUCCCUUUUCUUUUACAAAUAAAAAUUAAAAUCAAACUAAAAUAUUUUGAAAAGAUUUAAGCACACGUGCGACUGCUCGCGUAGGCCUUGUGCUGAAAAUCUUUUCCUUUUCUUUUAUAAAAAGCAAAAAUCAAAUAAAAAUAUUUUGAAAAGGUUCAAGCACACGUGCGACCGCUCGCGUAGGCCUUGUGCGGAAAACCUUUUCCUUUUCUUUUACAAAAAUUACAAAAAUCAAAUAAAAUAUUUUGGAAAGAUUUAAGAACACGUGCGACCGCUCGCGUAGGCCUUGUGCUGAAGAUCUUUUCCCUUUCUUUUACAAAAAUUAAAAAUUAAAUAAAAAUAUUUUGAAAAGGUUUAAGCACACGUGCGACCGCUCGCGUAGGCCUUGUGCUAAAAAACCUUUUCUCUUUUAUAUAAAAAUACCAAAAAAAUAUAAAAUCUUCAAAAUCUAAAAACAUCUUCAAACAACAAUCUUUCACCAGAACUACGUAACCCUGAUUUCUCAGUCCAACUGAGAAUACGUAGGAGCAAGGUCAAUCCUUGUCGGGCACAAAAAAACACAAAAAAAUAUUUUGUUUUCCUUAGAGUUAUAUUUUUAGGGGAAAUUAAACAUUUUGCAAACCACAUUUUUAUUCGCGCAUUUAAUUAAAGGUACUGCCUUAGGGCAGACGUUGUGGGGUGCUAACACCUUCCCCACACGUAACCGACUCCCGAACCCAAUCUUUGGUUUUCGUGGACCGUGUCUUUUCUUUAUGGUUUUUCCGUAGUUUUCCAGAAUAAACUAUGGUGGCGACUCCAAAAACUCUUUUUCUAAACCUAUUAAUUAUUUUUGGAUCGUCGUCCCGUCGCGAUUUUUCGGUUGCGACAUGCACAUCUGACUUGAUUGAAUCAUUAUUUUGAGUAAAAGACUAGCUUGAGUUGGUUGUUUAAAUCAAUUUGUCUUCAACUUAGAAUCACAUUUAUUUGAAUUUGAUUUAAAGACCAUUUACAUGUGCAUUUUGGAAUCUGGUAUCAGUUAGUGUGAGCAGAGUUGACAUGUGGAAGCUUCUGCUAUAUGCUUAAAUUGUUUUGCUGAUAUAUGUGGAGUUUAAUAAUUAGAAGCAGCCAACUUGAAUUCUGAAUUGAAUCUGUUCUGCAUUAUAUGGCAUUCAUUUGGUUUCAACCCUGAAUCACAUUCAUUUGCAUCUGGUUAAAUAUACACGUUCCUUGUGAAUGUCCUGCUAGCUUUAAUGUGAAUAACUUGUGCAAAGCUGAAUUGAUGAUGUUAAUCAGAUUGGAAUAUGAGAAUGCAUGAAUUUUGAGCAGCAAUUUAGUGAAUCUUGUAUAUUGGCUGAUCUGGUUUAUGUGGUUAAAAGUUUAAACCACGGUUUAGUGAAGUUGCAGGGUAGUUCAAAAAGUAAAGAGGUUCAAGAUGCAGUUUAAGAAACCCAACAGUUAGAAAUAGCAUGACAAAUGGGAAGUGUAAUAUCAUUAUUUCUGUUUGGCCGUAGAUUAUAAUUGAUUGAAUACCCUGUUGAUUGCUAUUUGAUGUAUCUGUGCAACAUCAUUUUGAAUCAGAUUGCAAAUUGAGAGCAACUAGGAUAAUUUUGCUGCACCAACUGCACCAUUCCAAGAGAAAGGGAAGACUCUUAUAUUGUGUCAAUUUACCUUUUGCUAUUGGUGUAGAUAGGGUGUGCUGAAACAAAUUGUGUGCAUGUGAUGAUUGUAGGAUAUCCAACAACAACAAAUUGAAGCUACAAGAUUGAGCACGGCCACGUUAAUUCUGCAGAAGUGGACCACCAAGCCGAGACCGUAGCAGCCAGAGAUUGGGCCGUGAGUUUUCUGCAGAGAUUGAAGAAGACCAGUAGCUUAGUUUAGUGUUUCUUUUAUUUGUCUUUGUAUUUGAUGGGCUUGCAGCCCACUGACAAUGUUAGUUUUAGCUUUGUGUUGUAACGGCCUUUUAUAAAGUACAAGUAUUUGGAAGAGUCCUUGGUGCUCUUUCCAAAUCUUGGCAACUUUAAUUGCUUUAAUUUUAGCAUAGCUAGACAUAGGAGUAGACUUUAAUAUUGAAUUGCUUCUGUGUUUCACAUUAGGUGUGACCUUUGUCACAUUAGAGUCCGAACAUAUUAGGGGUCUUAGAGUCCGUUUUCAUUGUUUGUUUCUUUUGAGUCUUGUACUUUGAUUUUAAAAGUAAUUUUACUUUAAAGGGUAUUUAGUGAGUAGAACAAAACAAAUCUAGCAAGGCAAAGACUUGGUACUUAAGCAACCCUAGUGGUUCACCUCUCUUACCUGGGAUUUGUCAAGUGUGAAAUCUUUAAAUCCUUUAGAUUAGAAGAACUUUUAAGAACAAAGAUGUCUUGUUAUUCAUAUAGUUCCUCUAGUUCAUUUAGUUCAUCUAGGAACUUUAAUUUUGAUAAGCCCAUUAGUCUUAAAGAAAUUAAAAGAGAACAUGAUAAAGCUAGAAGGAAGACUUGUUCAUCUCAUGAGUUUGAUAGGAUUGAGGGUACUUUGUAUAAACAAGCUAGGGAAAAUAUUCCUUUCUUUGGUGAGGAUAUUGGUGCAUUUACUUACUUAGCUUGGGAAAAGGAAAUUGAUGACAUGCAUUUCUUUAUGGUUAGAAGAAGUCAAUCUGACUCUUAUUAUUCUCGUGACUGUGAAUCAUAUAUCAUGAAUCUUUACAUUUCUAGAUUUGAAGGGUAUGCAAGAGAGUGGUGGGAAGAAAGAGAAUAUCAUGUUCAAAGGAGGCAAGUCAUUCAAAGAAAUUUACAACUUAUGAGAGAGUUUAUUAAAGGAGGCAAGUCAUUCAUUCAAAAUUUAAGUGGAUUCUAUCAAAGGGAAACAGAGUUUAGAGACAAACUCAUGAAGUUUUUGAGUGAGGGUGAGGGAAGUAGAAGAAGAUUUGAGAGAGAACAUAAGCAAUUACAAGAGAGAAUAGAGAGACAAGAGAGAAGAAAAGAGAGAAAAGAAGAAGAAGAAAGACAAAGACAAAGAGAGAACAAGAAAGAAAAAAAGAGGAAGAAAGAGUGAGAAGAGAACAAGAGAGAAAAGAAGAGGAAGAAAGAGAGAAAAAAGAAGAGGAAGAAAGAAAGAGACAAGAACAAAAGAAAGAGAAGGAAGAAAUUGAAAGGAAGGAAAAGGAAGAGAAGAAAUUGAUGACAACAUAUCUUAGUCUAGAACCCAAAAGGGGAGGUUUUCUAUCCUUUAACUUUCCUUCAAUUGAAAUUAAAUGUUCUAAAUUCAUCUUUUCUUUCCAAAAUAUUGCCAUCACAUCUUUUCAAAAGUUGCAAUUUUUAACAUAUGCCAAUCAAAAACUUGAGUUAGAGUUUCCUUUUUGGUUUUCACUAACUCAAGACAAAAAUAAAUUUUCAAAUGAAGAAUGGUUUCUUUUUAAUCAUCAUAUUGAAAAUUUUAAAAUUAAGAAACCUUCUUCUAAAAAUACUCUUUUAUAUACUUUGGGUCAUAGAAAACUAAUUAGUGUUAUAUUUGAUGCUUAUUGCAGAUUUACUUUUGACUCAGGAGGAGUUUGUCGAGAGGCAACUAAAAAUAAGUCCUCAGGAGAACCAUCAAGACUUGAGGACAAAUCCUUUCCAAGGGGGAGGGGAUGAUACGCGGGGCCCAAGCGCACUUUCUUUAGUUUAGUAUUUCUUUGAUGUAUUUUGUAUUGUGUUAGGCAUGUAGGACCUCUAGUCCUAUAAAUAGUCAUGCCUACCUUAUUGUACUUCACUUUUGAGCUAAUUGAAUUGUUUACUGUUGAGAAUUACUCCAGAACAAUUCUACCUUGAAAGUCAAGGCUANAGAAUCCCAAAGGAUCUCCUCUAGCCACCUUCCAUUUCACAUUACAUUUCAUUCAUUUUCCACCAUCANUUUCUCACUCCUCCGUGGCAUCCAUCUCGUCAUUCCUGGCUUGGCACGCGUCCCUCCANAGUGCGUCUGCUGCCACNCGANUUAAUUUCUCGCGAACCAACUCCACANAAGGCCAUUCUUCAUUUUNGUUCAGCAGCGUCUCUCNCUCGAGAGCGUACUCANCCACCAGCCACCUUCUCCUCUCAGAUNAGCCACCGUAAGACACUUCUCACCGAAACACUCCUCAUAUUCACCUUCUCCUAGCCUUUCCUCCNCUUUUGACCGAUUGAUUUUACGUUUNCCUUCAUCUUCACCGAUUGAAAUCGGNUGCUAACCUUUCCACCGGUUAAUCGGCCUAUUUCACCGAUUAAAGUCGCCUAAACCACCAGAUCUAGAUUCUCCACCGAACAACACUUCAAACUAGGGUUCGUUCGACCUCCUUCCAUUCCAACACCGAAACCUAGGGUUUAUAGAGUUCUGAUCUUCUUCCGUUGCGACAACUCCUCCAAUCAGGAGUUCAACUCCAUUUCU